This is a long non-coding RNA of Hyla sarda, 751 nucleotides long. RefSeq lists it as uncharacterized. The transcript has 3 exons. Lineage: Eukaryota; Metazoa; Chordata; Amphibia; Anura; Hylidae. The record is from RefSeq and is a predicted model, not a curated record.
AAGGGUUAACUGUUUUCAACUGAAAGAACUGGUGAAUAGCCACAUGUCUCCUGCAGCCAAUCCAGGAAGUCAUCCUUGUUGCCACCCUAUCCCUCUGUGAUAGAAAAUAAUUCCUAAGUCAGUUAGUCUGGCCUCCAGACAGGGAAGAAGUGGGAGCUCCUAUUUAUUUCCACACCCUGUUCUCAUAUCUUAAAUGAGGAUAGGACCCAAAUAACACCAUUGUUGAACCAGACUUUGCCAAAGUCCUCUCUGUUGGAUUCCGCUGUCGAGAAACAAAUAACAAAGCUGAUGGCCCUUGAGCUUUUGAAUGAAUACGCUGCGUAUGUGCAAUGUGUAAACCUACCUUAAAGGAAAAGAACUAGAAGCCUUUAAAGAAGCAACAGAUGGCCUCAAGAUGGGACAACACGUAGAGGGACAACAGGAGACAUAUAAAGCACAAAACAACAGAGAGCACUCUCCUUUGUGGAAGCCAACAAUGCCAGUGAUGGUUUCUCAAAUGGAUCAAAACAAACUCACCUGGUUUCGUUGUGCAAACUGAGACACAACACUCUGAGUGAUAUGAAAGACUCAAGGAUGGCUGCUAUGGCUCCCCACGCUGACCAGCAAGCGUUUCAAACAUCAAGAGAAUAACAGGAAGAUGGAAACCGGGAGUUGGAUCGUACUGCCACAAAUGGAAGGACAUCAGGCCUGAUGAAAAAGCCAUAACAGCUUUGAAAAGCAUUGCAUGUUUUUGUUAAAUAAACCUACCUGA